AUGUCCGGUGCCGGCCUCGCGGGCACGCUCGACGCGCUGGACCUCUCGUCGCUGCCCAGCCUCGGCCGCCUCAACCUCAGCUUCAACUCGCUGAUGGGAUCGUUCCCGUCGAACGUGUCCGUGCCGCUCCUCGGCCUCAGGUCUGUAGAUUUGUCCAACAACAGCUUCUCGGGUUCGAUCCCGGCGAUGCUGCCGGUGUACAUGCCCAACCUCGAGCACCUCAACCUUUCGUCAAACCAGCUUGUGGGGGAGAUACCGACGUCCCUCGCCAAGUUGACCAAGCUUCAGAGCCUUAUUCUCGGCUCCAACAGGCUUUCCGGAGGCAUACCACCGGUGCUCGGUUCCAUCUCAGGGUUAACAGCGCUCGAGCUGCACAGUAACCCGCUGGGCGGCGCCAUCCCCGCCUCUCUCGGCAACCUCGGUUCGCUGGAGCGCAUGAAUGUCAGCCUCGCUCUGCUGUACUCAACCAUUCCCACGGAACUCAGCGGCUGCGCCAACCUUACCGUCGUUGGCCUCGCCGGGAACAAGCUCUCUGGGAAGCUGCCGGUGUCGUUGGCCAAGCUGACCAAAAUACGGGAGUUCAACGUGUCCAAGAACAUGCUCACCGGGACGAUCUUGCCGGACUACUUCACUGCCUGGGCCCAGCUCACGGUGUUUCAGGCUGACAGAAACCGUUUCAACGGCGAGAUCCCCACGGAGAUCAGGAUGGCGUUGAGGCUGGAGUUCCUCUCCCUGGCGACCAACAACCUCUCCGGCCCGAUCCCGUCGGUCAUCGGAAGGCUGACAGACCUGAAGCUGCUGGACCUCUCCGAGAACAAACUCUCCGGCACUAUCCCACGGACAAUGGGCGAGCUCACCAGCCUAGAGGUUCUUCGGCUGUAUGACAACAAGCUCACCGGCCGGUUGCCGGCCGAGUUCGGGGACAUGACGGCGCUGCAGAGGCUGUCCAUAAGCACCAACAUGCUCGAGGGCGAGUUUCCGGCCGAGCUCGCCCGCUUGCCAAACCUCCGUGGCCUGAUCGCCUUCGAAAACCUCUUCUCCGGCGCCAUCCCGCCAGGUCUUGGCGGGAACGGCUUGUUCUCCAUGGUCAGCAUGUCAGACAACAGGUUCUCCGGUGGGCUGCCUCCGGGGCUGUGCAAGAGCGCGCCCCGCCUCCGGUUUCUCGCCUUGGACAACAACCACCUAACCGGCGACGUGCCCGCCUGCUACAGCAACUUUAAGAAGCUCGAGCGCUUCCGCGUGGCAGGCAACCGGCUGGCCGGAAAUUUGUCAGAGAUCCUCGGAUCGCAGCUGCCGGACCUGUACUACAUUGACCUGUCCAGGAACCUGUUUGAAGGCGAGCUCCCAGAGCACUGGGCUCAGUUCAGGAGCCUCUCAUACCUGCACUUGGAUGGCAACAAAAUCAGCGGAACAAUUGCUCCUGGUUACGGUGCCAUGGCUGCAUUGCGAGAUCUGAGCCUGGCAUCCAACCGUCUCACCGGCACGAUCCCGCCCGAGCUCGGAAAAUUAGCACUGCUCAAGCUAAAUCUUGGUCACAACAUGUUGUCUGGCAGAAUCCCUGUGACACUAGGAAACGUCGCCACGAUGCUCCUGCUGGACCUGUCCGAGAAUGAUCUUCACGGAGGCGUACCGGCGGAGCUGACAAUGUUAAGCUCCAUUUGGUACCUGAACCUGAGCGGCAACAGUCUCACCGGCGAGGUUCCAGCUCUGGUCGGUAAGAUGAGCUCGCUGGAGAAGUUGGACCUCAGUGGCAACCCGGGUCUAUGCGGCGACGUGGCUGGCCUGAAUUCCUGCAACUUGAAUUCUGACAGCGGUGGUUCUCGGCGGCACAAGGCAAGGCUGAACCUUGUCAUACCGCUGGCUGUUGCCGCUGCGCUGCUGGCCUCCGUCGCUGCCGUGGCAUGCGUGGUGGUGCACAGGAAGAGACGAACCGGCGAAGAUACGCCCGAGACCAACACAACGGUGAGAGACGGCAGCGUAAUGGCUCUGCAGGCUUCGAUAUGGGGCAAAGAUGUGGAGAUCUCCUUCGGUGACAUCCUGGCAGCGACGGAGCAGUUCGACGAGGCCUACUGCAUAGGCAAAGGCAGCUUCGGGAGCGUGUACCAGGCCGACCUUCCAGGCGGCCACUGCCUUGCCGUGAAGAAGCUCGAUGCGUCGGAGACUGACGACGCGUUUAGGGGCAUCAGUGAGAAGAGCUUUGAGAACGAGGUGAGGGCCCUGACGCACGUCCGGCAUAGGAACAUCGUCAAGCUCCACGGGUUCUGCGCCUCCAGCAGGUACAUGUACCUGGUCUAUGAGCGCGUCGAGAGGGGCAGCCUCACCAAGGUGCUCUACGGAGGCAGCUGCGAAAGGUUCGACUGGCCGGCAAGGGUGCGCGCAAUCAGGGGACUGGCGCACGCGCUGGCCUACCUGCACCACGACUGCUCGCCGCCGAUGAUCCACCGCGACGUGUCCAUCAACAACGUCCUGCUGGACGCCGAGUACGAGACGCGGCUGUCGGACUUCGGCACGGCGAGAUUUCUCGCGCCCGGGCGCUCCAACUGCACCAGCAUGGCUGGCUCCUACGGCUACAUGGCACCAGAGCUCGCGUACUUGAGGGUGACGACCAAAUGCGACGUGUACAGCUUCGGCGUCGUGGCCAUGGAGAUCCUGACGGGCAAGUUCCCCGGCGAGCUCAUAAGCUCCUUGUACAGCUUGGACGAGGCGCGUGGUAUGGGCGAGUCGGCGCUCCUGCUGCUCAAGGACGUGGUGGACCAGAGGCUGGACCUUCCUGCCGGGAAAUUGGCCGGGCAGCUGGUCUUCCUCUUUGUUGUGGCCUUGUCGUGCGUUCGGACGAACCCUGAUGCCAGGCCGACCAUGCGCACCGUCGCACAGGAGCUCUCUGCUCAACGGCGGUCUACCUUGGAUAGGCCAUUCGCUGCCAUCAGCAUUGGCGACCUUACAAUUCUGCAGAAAUGA
Molecule: ribosomal RNA, 2958 nt
Filed under: Triticum aestivum (bread wheat)
Lineage: Eukaryota; Viridiplantae; Streptophyta; Magnoliopsida; Poales; Poaceae
Description: partial small subunit ribosomal RNA
Source: RNAcentral